Molecule: non-coding RNA, 563 nt
Organism: Arachis ipaensis
Lineage: Eukaryota; Viridiplantae; Streptophyta; Magnoliopsida; Fabales; Fabaceae
Source: RefSeq, a predicted model, not a curated record
UGUUUUUGUAGUAUGUCAAUUCAAAACUAACUAGUAUUUUGCUACUAAGUAAAGGGAAUAUUUGCACUGACAGAGACACAAUACACAAUACACAAUGCACAUAUAUAUCCAAAUCAGUUAGAUAUAUCUAUGUUUAUGAGUUACAAAAUAUAAAUCUGAUUAACUUGUUUCUAAAUUAUUGUUAACAAGUAUAGACUUUUCUGACCUGUCCUUCUCUUGUGGUUUUUCUGCUGAUAUAUAAUUCAGAUUUAGCUUUUAUCUCAGUUAAAGUAAGUAAUCAAACAAGUUCUCCUGGUUCUAUUCACAUUGAUAAUUUGGAUAGGUGAAGCUUUCAUGGCCCAAGACAUUGGUCAAUAAGUGGUUGAAUAUCAAGUGCAAAACUGAUAACUUUCAAGCAAAUGAUGAUGUUGAUGAUGAUGUCCCUUAUCAAGGGCAGUAACUGCUUGGAAAUUAGUUCUUGCUGGGAAUGAACAAGGGAAUGAACACUGAUACAAUUGUUAAGGCCAAGAGUUUUCUUGAUGGUGAUGAAGAUCAGCAUGAAAAAGAUGUGUUUGAGAAGAAUU